UUUGACCUCAAAUCAGGUAGGAUUACCCGCUGAACUUAAGCA
This 42-nucleotide ribosomal RNA is filed under the name unidentified. RNAcentral's name for it is "Zhuliangomyces sp. 'sp-L-WA02' partial 28S ribosomal RNA". The record is from RNAcentral.